CGGGUUAACGUCCCAAUAACGAGCGCCAACCCCUAUCUAUUAGUUGCCAUCAGGUCGGCGUGGGCACUCUAUGGAGACUGCCAACCUAAAGUGGAGGAAGGUGGGAUGACGUCAAGUCAGCAUCGGCCCUUACGGUCCGGGGCUACACACGUGCUACAAUGGCCGGUAACAAAGGGUUGCGAAGCCGUGAGGUGGAGCGAAUCUCAAAAAGCCGGCCUCAGUUCGGAUUGGAGGCUGCAACUCGCCUCCAUGAAGUCGGAAUCGCUAGUAAUCGUGAAUCAGAAUGUCACGGUGAAUACGUUCCCGGGCCUU
RNAcentral lists this ribosomal RNA (312 nucleotides) under uncultured Halomonas sp. RNAcentral's name for it is "bacterial SSU rRNA". It matches the Rfam family "Bacterial small subunit ribosomal RNA", at positions 1074 to 1382 of the family's 1533-position model. The record is from RNAcentral. Lineage: Bacteria; Pseudomonadati; Pseudomonadota; Gammaproteobacteria; Oceanospirillales; Halomonadaceae.